GACAUGUAGCGGUCCCCUGUGUUGCCCAUGGCCAACUACCUGAUUAGCGGAGGCAUGUUCUAUGUGCUGGAUGACGGACUCACAGCACAGCAGCUCUUCAUCUGUGGGGAUGGCCUCACCUACAACGAUUUUCUCAUUCUCCCUGGGUACAUCGACUUCACUGCAGACCAGGUGGACCUGACCUCGGCUUUGACCAAAAAGAUAACUCUGAAGACCCCGUUGGUUUCCUCCCCCAUGGACACAGUCACAGAGGCUGGGAUGGCCAUAGCAAUGGCACUCACAGGAGGUAUUGGCUUCAUACACCACAACUGUACACCUGAAUUCCAGUCCAGUGAAGUUCGAAAAGUGAAGAAAUACGCGCAGGGACUCAUCACAGACCCUGUGGUUUUCAGCAUCAAGGAUCAUGUGCGGGCCAAGGCCUGACAUGGUUUCUGUGGUAUCCCAAUCACAGACACAAGCCAGAUGGGUAGCCGCUUGGUGGGCAUCCUCUCCUCAAGAGACAUUGAUUUUCUCAGGGAGGAGGAACAUGACUUUCCUGGAAGAGAUCAUGACAAAGAGGGAAGACUUGGUGGUAGCUCCUGCAGGCAUCACACUGCAGGAAGCAAACGAAAUUCUGCAGUGCAGCAAGAAGGGUAAGUUGCCCGUUGUAAGUGAAGACAACAAGCUGGUGGCCACCAUUGCCUGGACAGACCUGAAGAAGAACUGGGAUUACCCACUGGCCUCUAAAGACGCCAAGAAACAGCUGCUGUGUGGGGCAGCCAUUGGCACUCAUGAGGAUGACAAGUCCAGGCUAGACUUGUUUGCCCAGGCUGGUAUGGAUGUAGUGGUUUUGAACUUUUCCCAGGGAAACUCCAUCUUCCAGAUCAAUAUGAUCAAGUACAUCAAAGAGAAAUGCCCCAAUCUCCAAGUCAUUGGAGGCAAUGUGGUCACAUUGCAGUACUUCUUCUCCGAUGGGAUCUGGCUAAAGAAAUAUUGUGGUAUGGGUUCUCUUGAUACCAUGGAUAAGCACUUCAGUAGCCAGAACCGAUAUUUCAGUGAAGCUGACAAAAUCAAAGUGGCUCAGGGUAUGUCUAGGGCUGUGCAGGACAAAGGAUCCAUCCACAAAUUUGUUCCCUACCUGAUUGCUGGCAUCCAACACUCCUGCCAGGACAUUGGUGCCAAGAGCUUGACCCAAGUCCGAGCCAUGAUGUACUCUGGGGAGCUUAAGUUUGAGAAAAGAAUCAUCAGCUCAGGUGGAAGGUGGUGUCCACCACAGUCUCCAUUUGUAUGA
This is an RNA transcript of Carlito syrichta (Philippine tarsier), 1270 nucleotides long. It is a transcript of the gene named inosine-5'-monophosphate dehydrogenase 2 pseudogene, with no coding region annotated. The transcript has a single exon. The record is from RefSeq and is a predicted model, not a curated record. Lineage: Eukaryota; Metazoa; Chordata; Mammalia; Primates; Tarsiidae.